Long non-coding RNA from Tupaia belangeri chinensis (Chinese tree shrew), 635 nucleotides. RefSeq lists it as uncharacterized. The record is from RefSeq and is a predicted model, not a curated record. NCBI's taxonomy places the organism in Eukaryota, Metazoa, Chordata, Mammalia, Scandentia, Tupaiidae. The transcript has 4 exons.
GGAGCGAAUAGAGUACGGCUGUUGCUCUCCGGUUUCUGAAGUAUUAUCAGAAAAGACUUUCCUGGCUUAUUUUAAUGGACCAAGGCCCUGGAAAAUGCUGGCUGGAGUCAUUAUCACUGAAGAGAAAGUAGUCUUCAUAUGAUUCUUCAGUAAGCAAGACUGCUAUGCUCUUAUUGCUGUACCAUGUCAACAUGAAGCCUCCACAAUAACUGGAACAAAUAAGAGUGGAAUGGAAGAAUUUCUGAACUAGGCAUGAAUCCACCCGUGUAGAAGGAUCAUUAUAAUUGGUUAUUUGAGUGAACAAUAAUGAUGAUCAUGAAGAGACCAGAGAGGAACUGAAGAUUUUCCAAGGGGUUAUUUCAAGCCCAGUUCCUGAUAACAGUACAGUGGGCCUUUUGAGCCCCCUCCAGCCUCAAGCUUCUCCUCAGGGGAGAUUUUUGAGCGCCCAGGGGAUGAAGACAUCAAGGAUCUUGAAAAACAACCAAGUGACUUUGUAUAUUGGAAUAAGCACCAAAUGGAAAGACCUUCUACAACCCUGAUGGAAAGAACCCUACCAGUUAUAGUACAUGUACUUGUACCACUGUGGAGAGCAAUUUGGAGAUUCCUCAAAAUUUACAAAUAGAACUGCCAUAUGA